GAUUCUUCAUGCGAAAUCGCUAUACUCCUAUUUUCCUGCUCCUUUGAUUCUUGUUUUGGCUCUGAAGUUCUCUGGUCCACGGAUGUCAUGUUGAGGAAUUUAAAACCAACGUUGAAGUGUGCAGACUCGGGAGGGGAUCCUAUGAUACUCCACUGCCCUUGAACAAUGAACCAUUGGUGGCAACUCUGCAUAUGACUUUCAAGUUGGUUUCAGAUCCACGUCGUUGUCAUGUCACAACAAGUUAGCUUGCUCAGCAGAACUUGUGGGGUGUUUUGUUGAAACGAAGAUAGAGUCUAUCUACCCAGAGAUUGUUGGAUUCACAUCCCAUCCUUGCUGGGGAUUAUGGGACUUGAAUUUGGAAGAGCACCAGCAUGGAGAAGACGGGAGCUGAAUAUUUUCCUGUUUCAGAUACAUCUCAGAAAUGAAUCUUUGCAACAGAAGACACACAACAAGCACCUAUAUCAAGUGGUGGGAUUCAAGUAAUUUAACAACCGGUUCUCUGCCCUAAUGAUUUCUUCCAACAACCAGUUUGCCAAACUGCUCAGAAAGUUAACAACCGGUUCUCCCGAAGUGGUGCGAACUGGCUGAAUCCCAUCAGCUGCCUAUAUCUCUUUUGAACUUAAUUUCACUUUCUUUCUCUCUCUUCUCUGAAGUUUAGAGUGACAUCUAGUGUUUGUAGCACAAAAUAAUUAUCUUUGACCUGUACGCUGAAAUGUUAGCUGGAGUUGACUGUAGUGGCCAAAAUUGUGAAAACCUUUUGGGAAAAGUAUAUUUUCAAAAACUAGCUAAUAACAUCCUUUUUGGGGGGGAGUAGUACCAUAAAAUUAUAUAUCAAUGGAAAGAUAAUUUAAUCUGGGUCCUUGAGUGGCGCAGACUGGUAAGACAGUCUGUUAUUAACACAGCUGCCUGCAAUUACUGCAGGUUCUAGUCCCACCAGGUCCAAGGUUGACUCAGCCUUCCAUCCUUUAUAAGGUAGGUAAAAUGAGGACCCAGAUUGUUGGGGGCAAUAAGUUGACUUUGUAUAUAAUAUACAAAUAGGAUGAAGACUAUUGCUAACAUAGUGUAAGCCGCCCUGAGUCUUCGGAGAAGGGCGGGAUAUAAAUGCAAAUAAAAAAAUAUAUAUCCUAGUCCAGUUCAUAAUCCUCAUGCUAAGCACAUACAAUGCAGGUUUCAAUCACACUAUUGUGGUAUUUCUGACUAUAAUCUGCAGACACCCGCUAGAUCUGAGUUCUUCCACUGCUUCCUGGUAUAAUUCUGUUCUCUGUCGAUCACCUUCCUUGCCAUUCUUUCUGAAAGCUCUAAAAAUCAAAAAGGGAAGAAAAUGACCAGACUGGCAACUACAGGUAGUGCUUGACUUACAACAGUUGAUUUAGUGACCACUCAAAGUUACAACAGGAUUAUAAAAAAGUGACUUACAACUGUUUUUCAUACUUACGACCGUUGCAGCAUAGCAAUGUGAUCAAAAUUCAGAGGCUGACUGAAUGCAACUGACUCAUAUUUAUGACGGUUGCAAUGUCCCAGGGUAAGGUGAUCCCUCGUUUGCGAAUUUCUGACAAGCAAAUGUCCUCAUUGGGGAAGCCAGAUUCGCUUAACAACCAUGUAACCCACUUAACAACGUUGGUGAUUCCCUUACCAAUGACGGAAGAAAGAAAGAUCGAAGCUCACUUAACAAGUGUUUCACUUAAAAACAGAAAUGUUGAGCUCAAUUGUGGUUGUAAGUCGAGGACUACCCAUAGCCAUAUGGUUAUCUGGGGGAGUUUUUAUGGAAGGACGGGAGCCUAUCAAUUCAAGGGGAGAAGCCUUCAAGGAGGGGAGCCUAUCAAGGGGAGAAGAAAAAUUCCUGACACGAUGGGACUUGAGCAGUGGUGGAACGUUACCGGUUUAACAACCGGUUCUGUGAGCGCGUGCUUUGCAUUUUGCGCAUGGACGUGUGCUUUGCGCAUGCACGCGCCUAAGGUGCUUGCGUGCAGCACUGAAAAUGGAGCAUUUAGAAGCUCAGCUGCUUACCUUCCAAGUCAGCAAUGGCCUAAACCAAGUGCUCAGUUCCAGUCUUAAACUCUGCCUACAGCUAAACUGAACGUUUCAGGUCAUUGUGGGACCACCUUAACCUUUUCCGUCUGUCUGUCUGUGGAGAUCAUUUACUUUCUAUCUACCAAGAAAAGGUAGUUUUGGCCACCUAGUGAGAAGGAAGGACUCUCUGGAGAAGACCCUCAUGCUGGGAACGAUUGAGGGCAAAAGAAGAAGGGAACGGCAGAGAACGAGGUGGCUGGAUGGAGUCACUGAAGCAGUCGGCGUGAGCUUAAGGAGGAUGGUAGAGGACAGGAAGGCCUGCAGGAACGUUGUCCAUGGGGUCGCGAUGGAUCGGACACGACUUCGCAAUGAACAACAACAACCAAGAAAAGAUGGGAGUAAUCUUGGCGGUUCAAUCAAUGAAAAAGAACACAAUCCAGGAUGGCAAUCCAGUGCUAAUCAAAUAUCUGAUUUUGCUCAAUAUCCUACACAGGAGAUAUUACCAUUGUAUCAGCUUGG
This is a long non-coding RNA of Ahaetulla prasina, 2529 nucleotides long. RefSeq lists it as uncharacterized. The record is from RefSeq and is a predicted model, not a curated record. The transcript has 3 exons. Lineage: Eukaryota; Metazoa; Chordata; Lepidosauria; Squamata; Colubridae.